Molecule: ribosomal RNA, 497 nt
Filed under: uncultured bacterium
Lineage: Bacteria
Description: partial 16S ribosomal RNA
Rfam family: Bacterial small subunit ribosomal RNA
Source: RNAcentral
GAUGAACGCUGGCGGCGUGCCUAAUACAUGCAAGUCGAGCGAACGGACGAGAAGCUUGCUUCUCUGAUGUUAGCGGCGGACGGGUGAGUAACACGUGGAUAACCUACCUAUAAGACUGGGAUAACUUCGGGAAACCGGAGCUAAUACCGGAUAAUAUUUUGAACCGCAUGGUUCAAAAGUGAAAGACGGUCUUGCUGUCACUUAUAGAUGGAUCCGCGCUGCAUUAGCUAGUUGGUAAGGUAACGGCUUACCAAGGCAACGAUGCAUAGCCGACCUGAGAGGGUGAUCGGCCACACUGGAACUGAGACACGGUCCAGACUCCUACGGGAGACAGCAGUAGGGAAUCUUCCGCAAUGGGCGAAAGCCUGACGGAGCAACGCCGCGUGAGUGAUGAAGGUCUUCGGAUCGUAAAACUCUGUUAUUAGGGAAGAACAUAUGUGUAAGUAACUGUGCACAUCUUGACGGUACCUAAUCAGAAGGCCACGGCUAACUACGUG